Molecule: ribosomal RNA, 393 nt
Filed under: Salmonella enterica
Lineage: Bacteria; Pseudomonadati; Pseudomonadota; Gammaproteobacteria; Enterobacterales; Enterobacteriaceae
Also listed under: 1 other name
Description: bacterial SSU rRNA
Rfam family: Bacterial small subunit ribosomal RNA
Source: RNAcentral
AAAUUGAAGAGUUUGAUCAUGGCUCAGAUUGAACGCUGGCGGCAGGCCUAACACAUGCAAGUCGAACGGUAACAGGAAGCAGCUUGCUGCUUUGCUGACGAGUGGCGGACGGGUGAGUAAUGUCUGGGAAACUGCCUGAUGGAGGGGGAUAACUACUGGAAACGGUGGCUAAUACCGCAUAACGUCGCAAGACCAAAGAGGGGGACCUUCGGGCCUCUUGCCAUCAGAUGUGCCCAGAUGGGAUUAGCUUGUUGGUGAGGUAACGGCUCACCAAGGCGACGAUCCCUAGCUGGUCUGAGAGGAUGACCAGCCACACUGGAACUGAGACACGGUCCAGACUCCUACGGGAGGCAGCAGUGGGGAAUAUUGCACAAUGGGCGCAAGCCUGAUGCA